This is a long non-coding RNA of Pollicipes pollicipes, 680 nucleotides long. RefSeq lists it as uncharacterized. Lineage: Eukaryota; Metazoa; Arthropoda; Thecostraca; Pollicipedomorpha; Pollicipedidae. The transcript has 5 exons. The record is from RefSeq and is a predicted model, not a curated record.
CUGGCAACUGGACAUCAAUCUGCUGCUAGAUUGACGGACGCGCGAACAUAAUCGUGAACAAUUUCGGGUUGUGCGGCGCUCGUCGAAGGGGCGUUUUUCCGCGUUGUGCUCACUCCUAAGCGGUGUCCUAUUUGCGUCGGUGCGGGAUGCCUAACAUAAAGUGUUGUGUGUGUGGUGAUCGCAGGACAAACGAGAAUAAUUUGACUGUUUUCGCAUUCCCAUUUCAACAGGUCCACCUACAGAAGUGGCUUGAAGCAUGUCACAUCAGUGUUGUGGCUCCCGGUCAUGGAGUGUGCCAGGCACAUUUUUCAUCAGAAGCUUUUUCCAGCCUAGCAACUAAGAGGAAAAGGCUGAAGCCCAAUGCUGUGCCAUCUCUGCAGCUCAGGGAAGGUGUUCCAGGCACCCCAGUGCUUCCAGCAUCUACACCAUCUCUAAGACCAGAAUCUAGACACUUGACAACAAGUAAGAAGCUGGUGGUAUCCAACAGCACAUACAUGAUCCUUCGACGUGCGAUGCGAAAGGCCGGCCUACCAUCAGUCAAGCGUACUAUCCUGCAUCUUGCUAAAGGGUACCUGGGGGAACCUGGUGGCGGCGAUGGCGGUAGGAGGCACGCCAGCGGCGGUAAUAUGGGUGGCGAUGGCGACACGGGUGACACUGAGGACUUGGCCAUGCCGAGUAUA